RNAcentral lists this ribosomal RNA (693 nucleotides) under uncultured bacterium. RNAcentral describes it as "bacterial SSU rRNA". It matches the Rfam family "Bacterial small subunit ribosomal RNA", at positions 32 to 715 of the family's 1533-position model. The record is from RNAcentral.
AACGCUAGCUACAGGCUUAACACAUGCAAGUCGAGGGGCAGCGGGAUUGAAGCUUGCUUCAAUCGCCGGCGACCGGCGCACGGGUGAGUAACGCGUAUCCAACCUUCCGCAUACUCGGGGAUAGCCUUCUGAAAAGGAGAUUAAUACCCGAUGGUAUCAAGAGAUUGCAUGAUAACUUGAUUAAAGAAUUUCGGUAUGCGAUGGGGAUGCGUUCCAUUAGGUAGUAGGCGGGGUAACGGCCCACCUAGCCAACGAUGGAUAGGGGUUCUGAGAGGAAGGUCCCCCACAUUGGAACUGAGACACGGUCCAAACUCCUACGGGAGGCAGCAGUGAGGAAUAUUGGUCAAUGGACGAAAGUCUGAACCAGCCAAGUAGCGUGAAGGAUGAAGGUUCUAUGGAUUGUAAACUUCUUUUAUAAGGGAAUAAAGUCGGGUAUGUAUACCCGUUUGCAUGUACUUUAUGAAUAAGGAUCGGCUAACUCCGUGCCAGCAGCCGCGGUAAUACGGAGGAUCCGAGCGUUAUCCGGAUUUAUUGGGUUUAAAGGGAGCGUAGGUUGACAUAUAAGUCAGCUGUGAAAGUUUACGGCUCAACCGUGAAAUUGCAGUUGAUACUGUAUGUCUUGAGUGUACAAGAGGUGGGCGGAAUUCGUGGUGUAGCGGUGAAAUGCUUAGAUAUCACGAAGAACUCCGAUUG